This is a long non-coding RNA of Poecilia latipinna (sailfin molly), 675 nucleotides long. RefSeq lists it as uncharacterized. The record is from RefSeq and is a predicted model, not a curated record. NCBI's taxonomy places the organism in Eukaryota, Metazoa, Chordata, Actinopteri, Cyprinodontiformes, Poeciliidae. The transcript has 2 exons.
CUGCUCCCUCUUCGAGUGCGCACGGCGGCUCCACGGGCGAUCAUCACCGCUCUCCGCUGCAUGUUACGCACAUCUCUCCCGCUGCUGGAGAGUCAGAUCCAACUCUUCACGCUUAUGCACAGCAACGGCGAGGUUAACAUCUCACCUGCACCAUCGGAGCAUCAGAAGCUAAAUUUCCUCUACUUUUUUCCCUUUUGUUGAACAGGUUGUGCAAAAGCUUGGAUCCCUGUAGUUACCAGCAGAUAUUUUGUGUGUGUAUUCCUAAGAGGAAAAAUCCCCCCACCCCCCUCACCCCAUCUCCUCUGCUUAGCUCCAGGUUACGUCACGACUUCUCCAAAUAAUUUCCUCCAGCUAUAACGCAAGAAGAUCGCGCAUUUGGAGCGUUUCCUCCUAUAGGGACUCAAAGUGAGGGUAGCAUUGUUUUGCACGUUCAUUGUUAAAAACAAACAGUUUUUCUGUCUAAAGGUGAUAUUCUUCACUUUAUUCAGGGAUGAUGCAGACACGGAAGGGGGGAAAUAUGACUUUGAUGAACUCAGACUGAGACUCUUUUAACACAAGUUACACACGUGGGAUCAAAACAGAUCCACAAACAACGUGGGUUUCUUUGAGAACUGUUCACAGAUAUUACAGUGCAAAUUAGUGUUUUGUUUGUUUUAAAUAAAGAUCUGAAAUGUG